Molecule: ribosomal RNA, 442 nt
Filed under: uncultured bacterium
Lineage: Bacteria
Description: bacterial SSU rRNA
Rfam family: Bacterial small subunit ribosomal RNA
Source: RNAcentral
GUGGGGAAUUUUGCACAAUGGGCGCAAGCCUGAUGCAGCGACGCCGCGUGAGGGAUGGAGGCCUUCGGGUUGUGAACCUCUUUCGCUCAUGGUCAAGCCGCGGAUGUGUCCGUGGUGAGGGUAGUGGGUAAAGAAGCGCCGGCUAACUACGUGCCAGCAGCCGCGGUAAUACGUAGGGCGCGAGCGUUGUCCGGAAUUAUUGGGCGUAAAGGGCUUGUAGGCGGUUUGUCGCGUCUGCCGUGAAAUUCCCUGGCUUAACUGGGGGCGUGCGGUGGGUACGGGCAGGCUUGAGUGCGGUAGGGGAGACUGGAAUUCCUGGUGUAGCGGUGGAAUGCGCAGAUAUCAGGAGGAACACCGGUGGCGAAGGCGGGUCUCUGGGCCGUUACUGACGCUGAGGAGCGAAAGCAUGGGGAGCGAACAGGAUUAGAAACCCUGGUAGUCC